CUCCUUUUGGCAGCAGAUACACUAGAAUUGGAGCAAUACGGGGAUUAGCAUGGACCCCACGAAAGGGUGACAUGCAAAUUCGUGAAAUGUUCGUAUUUUUC
RNAcentral lists this small nuclear RNA (101 nucleotides) under Cricetulus griseus (Chinese hamster). Lineage: Eukaryota; Metazoa; Chordata; Mammalia; Rodentia; Cricetidae. The record is from RNAcentral.